UCGGAAUCACUGGGCGUAAAGGGUGCGUAGGCGGGUYUUUAAGUCAGAGGUGAAAUCCYGGGGCUCAACUCCRGAACUGCCUUUGAUACUGAAGAUCUUGAGUUCGGNAGAGGUGAGUGGAACUSCGAGUGUAGAGGUGAAAUUCGUAGAUAUUCGSAAGAACACCAGUGGCGAAGGCGRCUCACUGGCCCGRUACUGACGCUGAGGCACGAAAGCGUGGGGAGCAAACAGGAUUAGAUACCCUGGUAGUCCACGCYGUAAACGAUGAAUGCYAGCCGUURGUGGGYUUACUCACUAGUGGCGCAGCUAACGCUUUAAGCAUUCCGCCUGGGGAGUACGGUCGCAAGAUUAAAACUCAAAGGAAUUGACGG
RNAcentral lists this ribosomal RNA (371 nucleotides) under uncultured Bradyrhizobium sp. RNAcentral describes it as "partial 16S ribosomal RNA". It matches the Rfam family "Bacterial small subunit ribosomal RNA", at positions 545 to 916 of the family's 1533-position model. The record is from RNAcentral. Lineage: Bacteria; Pseudomonadati; Pseudomonadota; Alphaproteobacteria; Hyphomicrobiales; Nitrobacteraceae.